GAUUGAACGCUGGCGGCAUGCUUUACACAUGCAAGUCGAACGGCAGCACGGAAGAGCUUGCUCUUUUGGUGGCGAGUGGCGAACGGGUGAGUAAUACAUCGGAACGUACCGAGUAGUGGGGGAUAACUGUCCGAAAGGAUGGCUAAUACCGCAUAUUCUCUGAGGAGGAAAGCAGGGGACCUUCGGGCCUUGCGCUAUUUGAGCGGCCGAUGUCUGAUUAGCUAGUUGGUGGGGUAAAGGCCUACCAAGGCGACGAUCAGUAGCGGGUCUGAGAGGAUGAUCCGCCACACUGGGACUGAGACACGGCCCAGACUCCUACGGGAGGCAGCAGUGGGGAAUUUUGGACAAUGGGGGGAACCCUGAUCCAGCCAUGCCGCGUGUCUGAAGAAGGCCUUCGGGUUGUAAAGGACUUUUGUCAGGGAAGAAAAGCUUGAGGUUAAUACCCUUGGGUGAUGACGGUACCUGAAGAAUAAGCACCGGCUAACUACGUGCCAGCAGCCGCGGUAAUACGUAGGGUGCGAGCGUUAAUCGGAAUUACUGGGCGUAAAGCGGGCGCAGACGGUUACUUAAGUCAGAUGUGAAAUCCCCGGGCUCAACCUGGGAACUGCGUUUGAAACUGGGUGACUAGAGUAUGUCAGAGGGGGGUAGAAUUCCACGUGUAGCAGUGAAAUGCGUAGAGAUGUGGAGGAAUACCGAUGGCGAAGGCAGCCCCCUGGGAUAAUACUGACGUUCAUGCCCGAAAGCGUGGGUAGCAAACAGGAUUAGAUACCCUGGUAGUCCACGCCCUAAACGAUGUCAAUUAGCUGUUGGGGUACUUGAUGCCUUAGUAGCGUAGCUAACGCGUGAAAUUGACCGCCUGGGGAGUACGGUCGCAAGAUUAAAACUCAAAGGAAUUGACGGGGACCCGCACAAGCGGUGGAUGAUGUGGAUUAAUUCGAUGCAACGCGAAGAACCUUACCUGGUCUUGACAUGUACGGAAUCCUCCAGAGACGGAGGAGUGCCUUCGGGAGCCGUAACACAGGUGCUGCAUGGCUGUCGUCAGCUCGUGUCGUGAGAUGUUGGGUUAAGUCCCGCAACGAGCGCAACCCUUGUCAUUAGUUGCCAUCAUUAAGUUGGGCACUCUAAUGAGACUGCCGGUGACAAGCCGGAGGAAGGUGGGGAUGACGUCAAGUCCUCAUGGCCCUUAUGACCAGGGCUUCACACGUCAUACAAUGGUCGGUACAGAGGGUAGCCAAGCCGCGAGGUGGAGCCAAUCCCAGAAAACCGAUCGUAGUCCGGAUUGCACUCUGCAACUCGAGUGCAUGAAGUCGGAAUCGCUAGUAAUCGCAGGUCAGCAUACUGCGGUGAAUACGUUCCCGGGUCUUGUACACACCGCCCGUCACACCAUGGGAGUGGGGGAUACCAGAAGUAGGUAGGGUAACCGUAAGGAGCCCGCUUACCACGGUAUGCUUCAUGACUGGGGUGAAGUCGUAACAAGGUAGCCGUAGGGGAACCUGCGGCUGGAUCACCUCCUUUCUAGAGAAAAAAGAGGUUUGGUCGCAUUCACACUUAUCGGUAAACUGUGUAUUAAAGAUGCAAGACUGGUUGGGAGAAUCCCGACGAAGUUGGAGUAAUCUGGGUUUGUAGCUCAGCUGGUUAGAGCACACGCUUGAUAAGCGUGGGGUCGGAGGUUCAAGUCCUCCCAGACCCACCAAGAGAUUGGGGGGCAUAGCUCAGUUGGUAGAGCACCUGCUUUGCAAGCAGGGGGUCAUCGGUUCGAUCCCGUUUGCCUCCACCAAAUACUUUGCAAAUCAAAGUAUUUUUGUUUGUCUUUAGUCUUUAGAUGUUUGGCAUCUGAAUAGAUAAAGAUGAAGUAAAGAAUAUUUUAAUUUGUGUAGGUUAGAGAAGGAAAAGUUUACUUAUUCCUUUUUUUAAGAAGCGCAUCGAUCUUUAACAAAUUGGAAAGCCGAAAUCAACAAACAAAGACAAUGUCGGCUUGCCGUAACAGGUAAGCCGCAGUAUUUGGGUGAUGAUUGUAUCGACCGGGCUGUGAAAGACAAAAGGCACAGUUCGGUACACAACAAGCAGUAAGUUUUAUCAAAGUAGAGGCCUUUAAGUUGCGAAGGUAGUCAACACUGUAGCAACGAAGUCAAAAAGGUACUUCAAAUGAUAGAGUCAAGUGAAUAAGUGCAUCAGGUGGAUGCCUUGGCGAUGAUAGGCGACGAAGGACGUGUAAGCCUGCGAAAAGCAUCGGGGAGCUGGCAAUAAAGCUAUGAUCCGGUGAUGUCCGAAUGGGGAAACCCACCGUAUUUUGUACGGUAUCCUUAUCUGAAUACAUAGGAUAAGCGAAGCGAACCCGGAGAACUGAACCAUCUAAGUAUCCGGAGGAAAAGAAAUCAACCGAGAUUCCGCAAGUAGUGGCGAGCGAACGUGGAGGAGCCUGUAUAUGAUAGCUGUUGAGAUAGGAGAACAAGCUGGGAAGCUUGGCCAUAGUGGGUGAUAGCCCCGUAUUCGAAAUUUCAUCAGUGGUACUAGGUAUACGACAAGUAGGGCGGGACACGUGGAAUCCUGUCUGAAUAUGGGGGGACCAUCCUCCAAGGCUAAAUACUCAUCAUCGACCGAUAGUGAACCAGUACCGUGAGGGAAAGGCGAAAAGAACCCCGGGAGGGGAGUGAAAUAGAACCUGAAACCUGAUGCAUACAAACAGUGGGAGCCUAUUAAUUAGGUGACUGCGUACCUUUUGUAUAAUGGGUCAACGACUUACAUUCAGUAGCGAGCUUAACCGGAUAGGGGAGGCGUAGGGAAACCGAGUCUUAAUAGGGCGAUGAGUUGCUGGGUGUAGACCCGAAACCGAGUGAUCUAUCCAUGGCCAGGAUGAAGGUGCCGUAACAGGUACUGGAGGUCCGAACCCACGCAUGUUGCAAAAUGCGGGGAUGAGCUGUGGAUAGGGGUGAAAGGCUAAACAAACUCGGAGAUAGCUGGUUCUCCCCGAAAACUAUUUAGGUAGUGCCUCAUGUAUCACUUCCGGGGGUAAAGCACUGUUAUGGCUAGGGGGUCAUUGCGACUUACCAACCCAUGGCAAACUAAGAAUACCGGAAAGUGCAAUCAUGGGAGACAGACAGCGGGUGCUAACGUCCGUUGUCGAAAGGGAAACAACCCAGACCGCCAGCUAAGGUCCCAAAUGAUAGAUUAAGUGGUAAACGAAGUGGGAAGGCCCAGACAGCCAGGAUGUUGGCUUAGAAGCAGCCAUCAUUUAAAGAAAGCGUAAUAGCUCACUGGUCGAGUCGUCCUGCGCGGAAGAUGUAACGGGGCUCAAAUCUAUAACCGAAGCUGCGGAUGCACCUAGUGCAUGGUAGGGGAGCGUUCUGUAGGCCGAUGAAGGUGACUUGAGAAGGUUGCUGGAGGUAUCAGAAGUGCGAAUGUUGACAUGAGUAGCGAUAAAGCGGGUGAAAAGCCCGCUCGCCGAAAGCCCAAGGUUUCCUACGCAACGUUCAUCGGCGUAGGGUGAGUCGGCCCCUAAGGCGAGGCAGAAAUGCGUAGUCGAUGGGAAACGGGUUAAUAUUCCCGUACUUUGAUUUAGUGCGAUGUGGGGACGGAGAAGGUUAUGUCAGCGGCCUGUUGGAAUAGGUCGUUCAAGCCGGUAGGUGGAACAUUUAGGCAAAUCCGGAUGUUUAUACACCGAGAAGUGAUAACGAUUGUCUACGGACAAGAAGUGACAGAUACCACGCUUCCAGGAAAAGCCACUAAGCUUCAGCUAAAUCAGAACCGUACCGCAAACCGACACAGGUGGGCAGGAUGAGAAUUCUAAGGCGCUUGAGAGAACUCGGGAGAAGGAACUCGGCAAAUUGAUACCGUAACUUCGGGAGAAGGUAUGCCCUUCGAUGUGAAAGACUUGCUCUGUAAGCAUUGGAGGGUCGCAGAGAAUCGGUGGCUGCGACUGUUUAUUAAAAACACAGCACUCUGCUAACACGAAAGUGGACGUAUAGGGUGUGACGCCUGCCCGGUGCUGGAAGGUUAAUUGAAGAUGUGAGAGCAUUGGAUCGAAGCCCCAGUAAACGGCGGCCGUAACUAUAACGGUCCUAAGGUAGCGAAAUUCCUUGUCGGGUAAGUUCCGACCCGCACGAAUGGCGUAACGAUGGCCACACUGUCUCCUCCCGAGACUCAGCGAAGUUGAAAUGGUUGUGAAGAUGCAAUCUCCCCGCUGCUAGACGGAAAGACCCCGUGAACCUUUACUGUAGCUUUGCAUUGGACUUUGAAGUCACUUGUGUAGGAUAGGUGGGAGGCUUAGAAGCAGAGACGCCAGUUUCUGUGGAGCCGUCCUUGAAAUACCACCCUGGUGGCUUUGAGGUUCUAACCCAGGUCCGUGAUCCGGAUCGGGGACCGUGCAUGGUAGGCAGUUUGACUGGGGCGGUCUCCUCCCAAAGAGUAACGGAGGAGUUCGAAGGUUACCUAGGUCCGGUCGGAAAUCGGACUGAUAGUGCAAUGGCAAAAGGUAGCUUAACUGCGAGACCGACAAGUCGAGCAGGUGCGAAAGCAGGACAUAGUGAUCCGGUGGUUCUGUAUGGAAGGGCCAUCGCUCAACGGAUAAAAGGUACUCCGGGGAUAACAGGCUGAUUCCGCCCAAGAGUUCAUAUCGACGGCGGAGUUUGGCACCUCGAUGUCGGCUCAUCACAUCCUGGGGCUGUAGUCGGUCCCAAGGGUAUGGCUGUUCGCCAUUUAAAGUGGUACGUGAGCUGGGUUUAAAACGUCGUGAGACAGUUUGGUCCCUAUCUGCAGUGGGCGUUGGAAGUUUGACGGGGGCUGCUCCUAGUACGAGAGGACCGGAGUGGACGAACCUCUGGUGUACCGGUUGUGACGCCAGUCGCAUCGCCGGGUAGCUAAGUUCGGAAGAGAUAAGCGCUGAAAGCAUCUAAGCGCGAAACUCGCCUGAAGAUGAGACUUCCCUUGCGGUUUAACCGCACUAAAGAGUCGUUCGAGACCAGGACGUUGAUAGGUCGGGUGUGGAAGCGCAGCAAUGCGUGAAGCUAAC
This 5008-nucleotide ribosomal RNA is filed under the name Neisseria animaloris. Its description in RNAcentral is "partial 16S ribosomal RNA". The stretch from base 2153 to 5008 matches the Rfam family "Bacterial large subunit ribosomal RNA". The record is from RNAcentral. Lineage: Bacteria; Pseudomonadati; Pseudomonadota; Betaproteobacteria; Neisseriales; Neisseriaceae.